GUUAAGCUCAGAAAUUUUUCCCUAAUAAAAUAAGGGAAGGGGAGAAGCAUAUUUUAAUGUUAAGAAUAGGUUUGUAGAGGCAUAAAGUGCCAUUAGCCUAUUGAAUGUAAGUAUCUGGGCUAUUAAGUUUAUACUGAAAUAUUUUCUAUGUAUGUAAUAUUUCAACAAACACAUAUUGUAUUAAUUAAUGGUCAAAUACUAAAUUGAGAUUUUAUAAAAACAUUUUAUAAGCUGUAAAGCUUGUCAAUUUGUUUACUUUAUUACAACUACAAUUUUUCAGCCCUUUUCCAGAAUUUGAACUAAUUUGAUCAUAAAGAUUGAUCUAUUUAUAAUUUAUCGAUUACAAUUUUUAGACAAUUAAAGCUGGUUAAAGGAACUUUUAUUUUGGAAAAAGAACUGCUGCUGUUUCAAGACAUGCGCACUAGCUGCGACAUCUAGUGACGACAUUUACCGGGCUUUAACGGUUGUAGCUGCAUGAAGUCUGCUGCAAUUUCUCUGAGAUUUCUCAAGAUCAUCAGUUUGGACAGAAUUCAUUUGAAGAAUUAAUAGCACUAGCAGGUUCCAAUAAAGGCUGGAACAGAACAGACAGAAAAGAUGGUGAAGUAGAAAAGUUCGUAAAAACUUCUGCAGCUUGCAUCUGACAGAGAUGCAAAAAGAAUAAGAGAGCGGGCCUGAAAACAAGCAAAUUCAAGUCUUUCCUUCUUUUAGGGUACACUUGAGGAGUGUCCAGAUGUUUAUUAAUGUUUUAUUAAUGUAAUGUUAUGUUUCAAAUAAACAUGUAAACAUACUGUAUAUUUUUCUUUUUUUUUUAAACACCUACAGUAAAGUGUGACACUUAACACAUUAAAAGCAUCACAAACAUUGAGGAUAGAACUUCUAAUGUGCAGUUUAACUUUUUUUAACUAAAUAUAAUAAAAGUUUUUUUAAGAAGGGAUAAGUACAUGCCAUCUUAAGGGCUAAGGUUAUAAAAUAUUGUUUUGUGGAAAAAACACUUUAAAAAAAAAUUCGGGCUAGUUUCGUCUGAGUGUACAGUUUAAGCUGGCAUGAUUCUGGCACUUUGCUGGCAGUGUCGGCUGACUUUAAGCACCCGGACAUUGGCCAGUUUUGGCUGAGUGUACAGUUUUAGCUGGCGUGAUUCUGGCACUGUGCUGGCAGUGCCGGCUCACUUUAGGCACCCGGACAUGGGCCAGUGUACUUGGGCCGAUUCUGGGGCGUCAUUCA
Paramisgurnus dabryanus is the source of this 1221-nucleotide non-coding RNA. The record is from RefSeq and is a predicted model, not a curated record. Lineage: Eukaryota; Metazoa; Chordata; Actinopteri; Cypriniformes; Cobitidae.